This 314-nucleotide ribosomal RNA is filed under the name uncultured Pseudomonas sp. Its description in RNAcentral is "bacterial SSU rRNA". It matches the Rfam family "Bacterial small subunit ribosomal RNA", at positions 1069 to 1382 of the family's 1533-position model. Lineage: Bacteria; Pseudomonadati; Pseudomonadota; Gammaproteobacteria; Pseudomonadales; Pseudomonadaceae. The record is from RNAcentral.
GAUGGUUGGGUUAAGUCCCGUAACGAGCGCAACCCGUUGUCCUUAGUUACCAGCACGUUAUGGUGGGCACUCUAAGGAGACUGCCGGUGACAAACCGGAGGAAGGUGGGGAUGACGUCAAGUCAUCAUGGCCCUUACGGCCUGGGCUACACACGUGCUACAAUGGUCGGUACAAAGGGUUGCCAAGCCGCGAGGUGGAGCUAAUCCCAUAAAACCGAUCGUAGUCCGGAUCGCAGUCUGCAACUCGACUGCGUGAAGUCGGAAUCGCUAGUAAUCGUGAAUCAGAAUGUCACGGUGAAUACGUUCCCGGGCCUU